Long non-coding RNA from Rosa chinensis, 326 nucleotides. RefSeq lists it as uncharacterized. The record is from RefSeq and is a predicted model, not a curated record. Lineage: Eukaryota; Viridiplantae; Streptophyta; Magnoliopsida; Rosales; Rosaceae. The transcript is spliced from 3 exons.
UCCCACUCUUUUAAAUUGGAGGCCAAGACGAAAGGAUUGUUUAGUGGUGCAACAACUGUUAUUACAUUUCGCUUUCCCUCAAAGGCUGCUCUGCAGGAGAGUGUUGAUGCUUUUAUCAACUGUGUUGUGAAAAAUAGAGGAUUCAGCUAGGGAAAGCAUGUUGCCUGUUUGAUCAGAAUGUGGAAGGACCAGUCACAUAUACAAUUGUUAUACUUUUGAUGAGAAUACUCCACUUGUUGAUGAUCUAGAGUACAUCUCUGCAUUGAGUGAAACAAUAUUCAAGGGACUGCAAAGCGGAGAUAAGGAUGGGGUCUGGCUAAUGCAGG